This 1421-nucleotide ribosomal RNA is filed under the name Photobacterium carnosum. RNAcentral's name for it is "partial 23S ribosomal RNA". It matches the Rfam family "Bacterial large subunit ribosomal RNA", at positions 1546 to 2925 of the family's 2925-position model. The record is from RNAcentral. Lineage: Bacteria; Pseudomonadati; Pseudomonadota; Gammaproteobacteria; Vibrionales; Vibrionaceae.
CAUCUUAAGGCUGAGAUACGAUGUCGAGCUACUACGGUAGUGAAGUCAUUGAUGCCAUGCUUCCGGGAAAAGCUUCUAAGCUUCAGAUUAUAAGAAAUCGUACCCCAAACCGACACAGGUGAUCAGGUAGAGAAUACCAAGGCGCUUGAGAGAACUCGGGUGAAGGAACUAGGCAAAAUGGUACCGUAACUUCGGGAGAAGGUACGCUCCUAGCGGUGAUGAGACUUGCUCUCUAAGCUGCUGGGAGUCGCAGAUACCAGGUGGCUGCAACUGUUUAUUAAAAACACAGCACUGUGCAAAAUCGAAAGAUGACGUAUACGGUGUGACGCCUGCCCGGUGCCGGAAGGUUAAUUGAUGGGGUUAGACUUCGGUCGAAGCUCUUGAUCGAAGCCCCGGUAAACGGCGGCCGUAACUAUAACGGUCCUAAGGUAGCGAAAUUCCUUGUCGGGUAAGUUCCGACCUGCACGAAUGGCGUAAUGAUGGCCACGCUGUCUCCACCCGAGACUCAGUGAAAUUGAAAUCGCAGUGAAGAUGCUGUGUACCCGCGGCUAGACGGAAAGACCCCGUGAACCUUUACUAUAGCUUGGCACUGAACAUUGACCCUACAUGUGUAGGAUAGGUGGGAGACGUUGAAGCAACCGCGCCAGUGGUUGUGGAGUCAAUCUUGAAAUACCACCCUUGUAUGCUUGAUGUUCUAACGUUGGCCCCUUAUCGGGGUUACGGACAGUGCCUGGUGGGUAGUUUGACUGGGGCGGUCUCCUCCCAAAGAGUAACGGAGGAGCACGAAGGUGGGCUAAUCACGGUCGGACAUCGUGAGGUUAGUGCAAUGGCAUAAGCCCGCUUGACUGCGAGAAUGACAAUUCGAGCAGGUGCGAAAGCAGGUCAUAGUGAUCCGGUGGUUCUGAAUGGAAGGGCCAUCGCUCAACGGAUAAAAGGUACUCCGGGGAUAACAGGCUGAUACCGCCCAAGAGUUCAUAUCGACGGCGGUGUUUGGCACCUCGAUGUCGGCUCAUCACAUCCUGGGGCUGAAGUCGGUCCCAAGGGUAUGGCUGUUCGCCAUUUAAAGUGGUACGCGAGCUGGGUUUAGAACGUCGUGAGACAGUUCGGUCCCUAUCUGCCGUGGGCGUUGGAUGAUUGAGAGGGGCUGCUCCUAGUACGAGAGGACCGGAGUGGACGAACCGCUGGUGUUCGGGUUGUAUCGCCAGAUGCAUUGCCCGGUAGCUAAGUUCGGAAUCGAUAACCGCUGAAAGCAUCUAAGCGGGAAGCGAGCCUCAAGAUGAGUCAUCCCUAGACCUUUAAGGUCUCUAAAGGGUUGUUGAAGACUACAACGUUGAUAGGUCAGGUGUGUAAGUGCUGCGAGGCAUUGAGCUAACUGAUACUAAUUGCCCGUGAGGCUUAACCAUACAACACCCAAGGGGUUU